AGAGGCACAUGUCUGCUCGAGGAAUUUGCAUCCUUGGAUGUAAUAUUUGCGAAUGACGGCAGGAAGUUAACCUACUUCAAGGCGGGACGAGGGUCCAUUAGCGACCUAACCUUCAUGAGCGUCUCCCUCUGUAGGGGAUCUACGUGGAGAGUAAGCGAGGAGUUUACGUUAGCGACCACCAGGCGAUCUAUUUGGAAGGCGGAGAAAAAAUGAAAUGACGAGCCAAGACUACUGGACCUAAAUGGAAGGAUGACCACCUGGAUGUGGAAACCUUCAAGGAGUUCCUGCGCAACGCCAUCUGGAGCCCAGCGCGGGAAACGGCAAAGAGCCUGGCCCAGAAACUGGCAAAGCUCAUGGAGUUGGUGUGCGAUGUCGCCAUGCCAAGAAGGAAGCCAUGCAGAAAAGAAGCACCCUGCUACUGGUGGAAUACGGAGGUCAACCCGCUAAGGAAAACCUGCCUACGAGGAAGAAGAGAACGAGGUCGCCCUGAAUUCGACACCAGGGGGGAGGAACUUUAGCGAAAUGAGCACUUAAGCGUGCCAUAAAGGAUAGCAAGUCAGCCUGCUUUAGGCAGAUAUGCGAGGAGGCUGACGUCAACCCUUGGGGGACGGCAUAUAAGGUCGUCACCAAGAAGAUAAGGAGCCAGCCAAUGCCAGAAGUGACGUGCCCGGUCCUGCUUGGUAGCAUUGUGGAGGCCCUAUUCCCACAUCACCCAUAUCGGGAAGAGCUUCUCGCGCCAAGACCCCAAGCUGUGGCAACAGAUUUCCGUAGAGGUUGUGACAGCGGCCAUAAGGAGAAUUGGAGACAAAAGGGCACCAGGACCGGACGGGAUCCCAAAUAAGAUCUUAAAGCUUAGAGCAACCACCAGACCAGACGUGUUUGUUGACACGUUCAACAAAUGCCCACGGGAAGAAGUUUUUCUAGAGCAGUGGAAAGUGCAGCGGUUAAUCCUUCUGCCCAAAGGCAAUAAGCCCCCGGAGGAGCCACCGACCAAUAUGUUUGCUGGAUACUGUCAUCCUCGAGGACCACUCCACGUGCAAUGCCAGCAAUGAGCCACGGAGCACCACCACCGUCUGCUGGAGGAACUGCCUGAGGCAUACGGCAAGGCCUCCCCAGAUAAAUCUCAAGCUGAACAAGAUCUUCCACAAGCGGCUGGACGAGAGCGACGACCUUGAUUCUCAGAGCGGAGAUUCAAUGUGCCUACCACUCCAGCUGCGACUGAUCACUUUCCAAGAGUGGUCUUCCUACUGCAGUCAACAAACUCAUGGUCGGCACUUGAAGAAGAGGUAUUUGGAAAGGUCAUUUCCUGCGUCCAGUCGGUCAGGAGGAGCAACAGCAGACGCUGGACGAGGACCGAAAGCUGCGCAAGGACUGCACAAUUAUAAAGUUCGUACAUUCCAUUUCUUCCUUUGGCAUCUUGGAAAACGGCACAGGCUGUGGCACAUUCGCAAGGCAAUCCGGGAUCUUCUGCAGCUAAUUAAAAGCCAAUGGCAACAAGUUAUUAAUUGA
Drosophila pseudoobscura is the source of this 1509-nucleotide long non-coding RNA. RefSeq lists it as uncharacterized. The transcript has 2 exons. The record is from RefSeq and is a predicted model, not a curated record. NCBI's taxonomy places the organism in Eukaryota, Metazoa, Arthropoda, Insecta, Diptera, Drosophilidae.